This 468-nucleotide ribosomal RNA is filed under the name uncultured bacterium. Its description in RNAcentral is "partial 16S ribosomal RNA". It matches the Rfam family "Bacterial small subunit ribosomal RNA", at positions 28 to 507 of the family's 1533-position model. The record is from RNAcentral.
GACGAACGCUGGCGGCGUGCUUAACACAUGCAAGUCGAACGGAAAGGCCCUGCUUUUGUGGGGUGCUCGAGUGGCGAACGGGUGAGUAACACGUGAGUAACCUGCCCUUGACUUUGGGAUAACUUCAGGAAACUGGGGCUAAUACCGGAUAGGAGCUCCUGCUGCAUGGUGGGGGUUGGAAAGUUUCGGCGGUUGGGGCUGGACUCGCGGCUUAUCAGCUUGUUGGUGGGGUAGUGGCUUACCAAGGCUUUGACGGGUAGCCGGCCUGAGAGGGUGACCGGCCACAUUGGGACUGAGAUACGGCCCAGACUCCUACGGGAGGCAGCAGUGGGGAAUACUGCACAAUGGGCGGAAGCCUGAUGCAGCAACGCCGCGUGCGGGAUGACGGCCUUCGGGUUGUAAACCGCUUUCGCCUGUGACGAAGCGUGAGUGACGGUAAUGGGUAAAGAAGCACCGGCUAACUACGUG